This 57-nucleotide transfer RNA is filed under the name Ortleppascaris sinensis. RNAcentral's name for it is "tRNA-Asn". The record is from RNAcentral. Lineage: Eukaryota; Metazoa; Nematoda; Chromadorea; Rhabditida; Ascarididae.
UGGAAAAUAUUUUAAUUUAAGAAUAUAUGACUGUUGAUCAUAAGGUUUAAUUUCCAG